Vicia villosa (hairy vetch) is the source of this 1572-nucleotide long non-coding RNA. RefSeq lists it as uncharacterized. The record is from RefSeq and is a predicted model, not a curated record. The transcript has 2 exons. NCBI's taxonomy places the organism in Eukaryota, Viridiplantae, Streptophyta, Magnoliopsida, Fabales, Fabaceae.
AGUGUAGGAGUUAUUGUGAUGAUUAAUUACCUCUAUUUAUUGGUAAUAACGGUGAUAUAGGCGUAUGCCUCGUGACAAGUUUUGAUGUGAUUGUGUAUGUGAUAUUGCAUUCAUCUAGUCACAUACAUUUGGAUUUUUGUGACGGUCUGGAUUGGAAAACAGUGACGAAGGCUUAUGCCUGUUUGAUGUGAAUUGUUGUGACUUGAAUUGGAAGUCGAAUAUAAUCAUGCGAAGUAUUGUGACUUGUAAUCGUAAAUUGUAUCGUUUUUUUGAGUAUAUUAUUGUGUAGAGAAUUGUUACGUAUAUGCCGCGAUGUGGUAAUUUUGAUGAUCUAACGCUGAUAUAUUAUUUAUCAUUAUCUUAUUUAUAUUGAUAGAUAUCUCACCCCUUUCUUGUUGAUCGUUGCUUUUAUACUGGUAACGUACAGGUGACUCACAGUGAGUGAAGAUUUAAUUGUUGUGAUAGUUCGAGUCGGUGAUGUCGUUCUGAUACGUAGCACUCGGGGAGAUGAACUAUAAUUGUUUAGUUGUUGCAUUUGUUUUUGGAUUGCUAAAUUUUAAGUUAAAUUUUAAGAAGUACUAUGAUGUUUUCAAGUUGUUUUAUUUGAACAAGAUGAUAUGUGAAUUAAAAUUGAAUAUAGUGAUUCCGAUGCGUAAUUAAUAUAAAGAGUUUGGUUUUAAAAAUUAAAGUAUGUUGUUAUCGGUUCAUCCGAUUGUGAAGUGUUAUGUAUCUAUUGAAUUAAAAUGAACGGUUUGUUUUAAGAAGUGUGAUUUAAUGUGAAGCGUGACAUCCCGUUGGUUUGUUAUAAAUUUUAUAACUUUGAUUAUGAUUAUGAUUAUAAUUACCUGGUAAAAAUGGGGUGUUACAGAGACUUUACUCACAAAAUUGUCAUUGUAUUUUUUAUUUACACUUGUUUUUAUUCAAAUGAGUGAAAAUCAUCUCAUUCUUUUUUUUAUUUUGCAACAGUGUAACUAUGUUUUCGCACAAAUUGUAAAUAUUGAUAUUGAUGUUAUUAUUUUAUUAUUAGUAAAAUAACCCCUUCCUAUUAUUAGAGGUUGAAAAGUUAAUUGAAAACUAAGAUUCAAAUUUUAAGUUAACAUUUUACUAAAUGCAACAUAUUGAUCAUCUUAAGAGACACUUUAAAAUAAUUAUAAUUUUACAUGAGGAUUUUUUCACAACUCCUAAAGAGCUAAUUUUUUUAAUUUUUUUUAGAACAUGUAUUUUAUACAUUAUAUAAGAGUCACGUAAUGUUAUAUUUUUAGCAUGCAAAGAGAGAAAAAUAUGGCUAAAAUCAAGUUUGUGUAUGUUGUAGUUUUACUUCUUUUUCUUUUUCUUGUUCCAGAGAAAAUUGACGCUGCCCCGGAGGAAAGAAGUUGUGUUACUGAUGAUGACUGUCCAAGAAGAACUAUCUGCAAAUACGAGUGCAUUAAAAACAAAUGCAAUCAUACUAGAGAGAUGGAAUGUUUUUGAAUAAAUAUAUGGCAUAACAGGUUACUUUUACAAGGAAGAAUAAAUUCUUGUACUAGCAAAAAAAAUUAUUUUCAAUAUAUUUUUUGCUAGAAAAUUUCUUAA